This 380-nucleotide ribosomal RNA is filed under the name Corallincola luteus. RNAcentral's name for it is "Corallincola sp. DASS28 partial 23S ribosomal RNA". It matches the Rfam family "Bacterial large subunit ribosomal RNA", at positions 2568 to 2925 of the family's 2925-position model. Lineage: Bacteria; Pseudomonadati; Pseudomonadota; Gammaproteobacteria; Alteromonadales; Psychromonadaceae. The record is from RNAcentral.
AGGGUAUGGCUGUUCGCCAUUUAAAGUGGUACGCGAGCUGGGUUUAGAACGUCGUGAGACAGUUCGGUCCCUAUCUGCCGUGGGCGUUUGAGAAUUGAAAGGGGCUGCUCCUAGUACGAGAGGACCGGAGUGGACGAACCUCUGGUGUUCGGGUUGUCAUGCCAAUGGCAUUGCCCGGUAGCUAAGUUCGGAACUGAUAACCGCUGAAAGCAUCUAAGCGGGAAGCAGGCCUUGAGAUGAGUUCUCACUGGGACUUUAAGUCCCCUAAAGGGUUGUUGAAGACUACGACGUUGAUAGGCAGGGUGUGGAAGCGUUGUGAGGCGUUGAGCUAACCUGUACUAAUUGCCCGUGAGGCUUAACCAUACAACCCCUAAGAAGUU